Molecule: long non-coding RNA, 2634 nt
Filed under: Capsicum annuum
Lineage: Eukaryota; Viridiplantae; Streptophyta; Magnoliopsida; Solanales; Solanaceae
Description: long non-coding RNA (CANN_LNC002562)
Source: RNAcentral
AAAAAAACAAAAUAAAGAAAAAAAAGGAAAGAAUACUAAUUAGGAAACUCAAAAAAUGAACCGGCAAAGAAGAAAAAUAUCAAGAGAUUGUAGACAACUCCAUUGCUUGAAUUCUAUAAAGCUCCAUCGCCGGUGAAAUCGACAACUAGGAGCUACAACAACAUCUGAUAUGAAAUCUGUUUUGAGAAGUGUAACCUUGAUCCAAAACUAUGCUUCUUUUUCUCGCAGGUAAGACUUCUUAUCUUUGAUAAAAAAAAUCAAUAGGUUAAACCCCAUAGAAAUUGUAUCACCACUGAGGAUUAGAUCCUUGAAUAGGCCAUUAAUUUAACCUUUUCGACGUCAGUAGGUAUGAAGCUGAUACUUUGGGAACACAAUGUAGAUCUGAGAUAUGAACACCUAGCCUUAAGCAUAAAGAACCUAGUAAACCUAAAUAAAGUAAAUUUCUUUACUAUAACAAUCACUUGGUUGAAUCCAAAAAACUACCACUAAUGUUAUAAUCUCAAAUUAACACCGAUUUAUCUUUACUAUCAAGAGCUUCAGUCUUGGAAGUGGUCUUGAAAGACAAAACUCAUCCAACAUAAUGAGAAUAUUUUAAGAAACAUAAAGAGGUAUAUCUCGAAUAUCAAAGAACAAUCUCAAUUUCUUAUCUCUCAACUUCAAUUACUUGAACCCAGAGGUUAAUACCACCAUUAUUAGUUAAGAAUUUAAAAUUUAAAAUAUCCAUGAGUCAACUAAAAAUCGAUCUAUGAAUACAUAGAAUAAGUGUCAAGAAUACACUACUUAUAUCUUCUAUUUGAGUUUCAUCCUAUAUGCAACACCUCAGAGCUCUGACCAGGUGCAUGGUAUUGUAACCAACAAAAACUAAUUCAAACAUCAUUAGUAAUGUAGGUAGAUUAUUUCUUAAUACAAAGUUGUAGUAUUCAUCAGUAACUAGAGAUGAACAAUUAUGAAGUAUUUAUUGAACCUGAUUGCCUAAUCCUCAUGUUUGGAGUACAACUUAGGGAAACAGUUAGAGAUACUUUACAAUUCUUAGCUUUGAAACAAAACUUUCCACUAUUUCACUAAGUCUAACUUAUGGGUACUCUAUAACUUAAACCUUAUAGACAAAAGUUAUAACUUAUGUUUGAUGAGAAAUGUACCUAUGUUUUAACUUUUGCCUAUAAAGUAGAACUUGUGGUUCAUUGUGUAGGUUACUUGUCUUGAAAUAUCUAUUUUACAAGUAAAAGUUAGAACGAUUGUCUUAUGGAUAAAAUUUAUUAAUUUAGGCCCAUAAAUCAAAGGCCACUUUUGCUAAACUUUUCUUAUGGGAGACAAAAUAUACCGACCAUCCCAUUUUAGGAUCAUUUCUGAACUUGAACAAAUCAUUUAAACAUAUUAGUGCGCCUUAAUGUAUCUCCCCUGAAAAGGGUAAAAAUUUCCCUUAUGUACAAAAUUAGAGCCAUUUUUAUCAAUAGUAGCAACACUUUAUAGUUUAUCAAACCUAUACAAGCAUGGUAAAAUAUGGAUGAAACAAGGCUUACAAUAGAUUUUGUAUGAUCUUUCUACCUAAAACUAUGUUAUCAUCUUUCCCAUUUUUUCCUGUUUGUUCCAUAAUUCCAAUAUCAAUAAAGUUGCGUCUUAAUCAAUUUUAAUACACUAUCAAAAUAUUCUACUUACUCCAUUAAAAUUUCAAUUGGAUUCCCUGUAACAUCUUUUUCUACUAACAAGGAUUGAAAAGAUAAUUAACAAAUAUAUAUUGAUAAACUAGGCAGUUCCAAAUAUUAUAUGUAAGUUGUUAUUGUAAGCAAACUCUACUAAAGGUAGAUACCGUCCCAACUACAACAAAAAUCAAGAACUCAAUGCCUCAACAUGUUUUCCAGUAUCUAAUGGUUCACUCUGUCUAUCUGUCCGUCUGCAGGUGAAAUACAGUACUCAAAUCCACUCAUGUUCGCAACAUUUCUUGGCAUGGUUCCAGAAGUUCUUAGUGAAGUAAUGUUCCCUAUAUGACAUAAUAGAUACCGGAACCUUGAAGCCUGGCAAUUUUAGUCAUAUAAAAUCUGUAUUAGGUGCACCAGUAUAGGUAGCUUUGGGGUAUGAAGUUUGUUGAAUUUGUCAAUCGAUCAACGCUACCCAUAUAGAAUCAAACACUUUACAAUUUAUAAGAAUCCCAUUACAACAUCCAUGGUGAUAUUCUCUCACUUCUAUCCUUGUCAUGUUUAGGAUAAUUUUGCUCGUCUUUUUUUGUCUCAAAGGAAAAAGUUAUGAAUUGUCUAUUUUUAAUAAGCACAUAUUCAUAUCCCACUUGAGAGGCAUCAUAAUAAAUUGUAAAUUCUAUAAUUGUCGAUGGAAGUACUAACAUUGGGGUUGUUUUCAAAUGUUCUUUGUGUUGUUGAAAACUCUAUCUGCAUGCCUCUAACCAUUGGAAUUUCACAUUCAUUUAUAUUAGCUUUGUCGAAGGUGCAACUAUCUUAGAGAAUCCCACAUGUAACAACUAUCAUAGCCCACGAGACUUAAGAAUUUAUAUCUAGACCACAAUUGUUGGCUUCUCUACUUCUUUACUGCUUCCACUUUCUUUGAGUCUACUAAGAUAACUUCUUAAGAUAAAAUAGGUCCUAGGAAGUCAAAUUGGUUAAACAAAUUUCACCAUUAGAGGCC